GGUCUAACCAAAAACAUUGCUUGCGGCGGUAACGUCCACCACGUAUAUCUCAAACUUGACCUCAAAUUCA
This 70-nucleotide ribosomal RNA is filed under the name Candida albicans. RNAcentral's name for it is "partial 28S ribosomal RNA". Lineage: Eukaryota; Fungi; Ascomycota; Pichiomycetes; Serinales; Debaryomycetaceae. The record is from RNAcentral.